UUUGGUGUCUUUGAAGUAUUGCUAACUUCCCUAUGGGAUUUAUUUGUGUUUGUUGCCAGGGUUUAUAUCCUGAUGGGUGCCAGAUGACAGACUCCUCCACAUUUCAGCAGUGCUUUGUUCAGUUCUCAGGAUCCCUCAAAUCUCCCCGUUUGUGGCUGCAUAGGAAUGUAGCAAACCCAGAGUUCAUGUUUCAUUUUUUCCCUUACCUCCACAGAUGGAAGGAUUGUGUUUUCAGACAGGACUAUAAGGUGUGCAUUAUUUUCUCAUCACAUCUCCUACAACAUCUACAUUUUAUUUUCAUGUCUGCUUCAAGUUUCUCCACUUAAACCAGACUCCAGCAAGCUCUAAAAUGAUCUCCUGAUGUUUAUAUUUUAACCUUCCACCUUCCUUUCAUUUCCUUCUUCUACUUGUGCUCUCUCCUUCAGCUAGUAUGAAGUUCCUACAAGUUAAACUGGAACACUCCUCUUUAGACUGACAUCAUGCUAUAAGGCACCAAGCACACACUAGCACUUAAGUUGGAAAAUGAUUGGAAUUGACUUAAACUUGCUGAAUGCAAGCCAAAAGAAUAGGUACAGGAUACAUUGCAGCAGAGAUGCUGACUCUAUUUCUGCAAGGCCCUCCUAUACAAGAUCUAACAGUGAGAAGUCAGAAAAAAUAACUGUAUUUAACUUGCCUUGAGAAACUCACAGGAAAGGGCAUUUGAGGGUGGAUCAAUGACAUGAUUGAGGUUUAGAUCUCGCUGGCUACAGCGAUGCCUUUGAAUUCUCUGCACCCCUGUUGACCUGUACAGGAGAGAGGUAAUUGAUGACAGCCUGUUACCAAGAGCAGGUUAUAAUACUCCUCUUGUCCAUCCACACAGGCAACCUAAUUUUCUCCCGCGUCUUGAAACCAGUUCAUCUCAAACACCUACAUUCAUGGAUUAGUUUCCCACGAGAGCUGUUUGGACAUAGUGGUAUUCAAUAUCCCUAGCAUGUCAAUGUCAAGAACACAGGGUAUUAUUAUUACUGUUAUACUAUUGACUGCAUGGUUUUGGCAGUGCAGGAGGAUUAUCUUAGUAGUACACACUCUGUAGUUUAUUCCUAAGUAAUUUCCCAAAGAUGUUAUAACCACAGGCCAGACACAAGUUCAGGAUAUGAGCAAUAUAUUAGCUUUUUCCCUAUUAUUAUGCAGUGAAAAACAUGGCUUAGAUUAAGUAACAUAACAUUAAUAUAACAGUGUAAUACUAUAAAUUAUAUAAGAUUCAGUAAUAUGACAUUAGCCAUCUGUUUUGUGACAUAAUUGGGC
This 1284-nucleotide long non-coding RNA is filed under the name Coturnix japonica (Japanese quail). RNAcentral describes it as "lncRNA (ENSCJPG00005008590.1)". The record is from RNAcentral. Lineage: Eukaryota; Metazoa; Chordata; Aves; Galliformes; Phasianidae.